Molecule: small RNA, 28 nt
Filed under: Bombyx mori (domestic silkworm)
Lineage: Eukaryota; Metazoa; Arthropoda; Insecta; Lepidoptera; Bombycidae
Description: ovarian small RNA-30243
Source: RNAcentral
UCUUUAAUCACGGCAUACCAACAUUCGC